This 171-nucleotide ribosomal RNA is filed under the name Oxalis corniculata. Its description in RNAcentral is "5.8S ribosomal RNA". It matches the Rfam family "5.8S ribosomal RNA". Rfam says of the family: 5.8S ribosomal RNA (5.8S rRNA) is a component of the large subunit of the eukaryotic ribosome. It is transcribed by RNA polymerase I as part of the 45S precursor that also contains 18S and 28S rRNA. The record is from RNAcentral. Lineage: Eukaryota; Viridiplantae; Streptophyta; Magnoliopsida; Oxalidales; Oxalidaceae.
AAAAUUGAUAAAACUUUCAACAACGGAUCUNUUGGCUCUGGCAUCNAUGAAGAACGCAGCGAAAUGCAAUAAGUAAUGUGAAUUGCANAAUUUANNGAAUCAUCCGAAUCUUUGAACGCACAUUGCGCCCCUUGGUAUUCCGAGGGGCAUGCCUGUUCGAGCCGUCAUAAC